This 518-nucleotide ribosomal RNA is filed under the name Trapelia antarctica. Its description in RNAcentral is "eukaryotic LSU rRNA". The stretch from base 154 to 307 matches the Rfam family "5.8S ribosomal RNA". The record is from RNAcentral. Lineage: Eukaryota; Fungi; Ascomycota; Lecanoromycetes; Trapeliales; Trapeliaceae.
CCCUNCCGGGGCGGUGGCAGGAUGCAACGAAACCCANUGUUGUCCGACCGCGUUGCNUCGGGGGCGGNCCUGCCUCGUGCUCGGNCCCCCCGGUGGACAUGAACCAAACUCUUGCGUAACAUUGCAGUCUGAGUGAUUUAUUAAAUGAAUCAAAACUUUCAACAACGGAUCUCUUGGUUCUGGCAUCGAUGAAGAACGCAGCGAAAUGCGAUAAGUAAUGUGAAUUGCAGAAUUCAGUGAAUCAUCGAAUCUUUGAACGCACAUUGCGCCCCGUGGUAUUCCGCGGGGCAUGCCUGUUCGAGCGUCAUUACACCACUCAAGCCUCGCUUGGUAUUGGGCGACGCGGUUGCAAAGCCGCGCGCCUCUAAACGACCGGCUGGGUCGAUCGUCCCUCAGCGUUGUGGAAACAGUUCGCUAUGGGUCGCGGUCGGGCACGCCGUUAAACAAACCAACUCAAGGGUUGACCUCGGAUCAGGUAGGGAUACCCGCUGAACUUAAGCAUAUCAAUAAGCGGAGGA